Molecule: long non-coding RNA, 1405 nt
Organism: Solanum dulcamara
Lineage: Eukaryota; Viridiplantae; Streptophyta; Magnoliopsida; Solanales; Solanaceae
Exons: 2
Source: RefSeq, a predicted model, not a curated record
CCAGGGGGGUAGGGUUAUAGGGAGUGAGGUAGCGAAUUCUCCUUCAGCUGCCGUCAUCGGUGUUCUCGCCGGUGGCGCCGUCAUCGAUGUUUGCGCCGGUGGCGCCGUCAUCGAUGUUUGCGCCGGUGGCGGAGGUUUCAUCUAUAGCCUUUUACACUGAAAUUACUGAUUUUCGAUGAUACCUAGAUGGGAGAACACAGCUAAGAAUGGUUUUUUUUGGAUCAGUUUUGGAUUAAUCUAAUGCUGUGCUUUACUUGCCUUUCCUGUUACUUCCAUACUACAAAACUAGAUUGAAGAAGAAGAUGUUAUAUUGGAGUGGAGCUUUUGAUUUAUUUGAAAAUAUUUAUUAGGUCUUUUCCAUAUUAAGAAUCCAGGAGCCAAUUGAUUGAAGACUCCUGCAAGUGCCCAUAAAAGUAUGAUGUUGCUGAAUGGAAUCAAAAGUUAAAAACUUGUUGCUCAUUUGAAGGAAUUGGUGCUAUGCCUCUCCCUAAAACGUUUUCAGAUUGUGCUGGCAGUAAGACAUGUUUCAGUUAUUUGUACGACCAGGGCAUGUGGAAGACAAGCUGUUUUCUUGUAUCACAAUGAUCAGUCUUCGGAAAUUGAUGAUAUAGUGGUUUGGAGGAUGAGGCAAAAAAAACUUAUGAAGUAACCUAGUUGAAUGUUCAAAUCAAUUGACCACUUUGAUUUGGCAAUACAACUAUAGCCAAGAGAAUGCUUCAUUAUAAGUACGUAACUUUUCACUUUAUUGUUUGAGCAUUAUGUUGAUUUCUCAAACUUAUUUUUCUUUUGACAAAUUUGAUUUUUCAUAUACUCGUGAAAUGCAACACCAUGCUCAGAAGUUAGAGAGUGAAAUGUUAUGCAUUUGUAAUUAUAUAUUUUUCUUGGCUAGAGUUGAAUUGCCAAGUCAAGUGUUUUAAUUGAUUUGAACCUUCGGGUGAGUUGCUUCAUGAUCUUCUUAUGCCUUAGCUUCAGAACUUACCACUAUAUCAUCAAUUCUCGAAGAGUGUGGCUACCUGAAUGCUCUUGCUAUCAGACAUUUUUCCUUUGGAAGGUUGAAUGAUUUGAACCUGGAAAUGAACGAGACCUGGAAAACAAUUGGUGUUGCAAAUCUCCACUAUUGAGGCUUAAUUUUUGCCAGUUCUUAAAUAUGUAUAUCUUACUUUUGUAAUGAAUUUAUGUUUGUUUAGUAUAUUUUUGUUGUUACCCCUUUGUAAUCUUUUGGAUUCAAUGAUGAAGUUGGUAUGGAAAUAUAAUUAGGGGUGGCAAAAUCUUUUGGAUUGGGUCUUGAUCCAAUUAUUGUUUUAAUCCAUUAUGAUCCCUCUAAAUUUGAUCCAACCGCUCAAUUGCCACCUCUAGAAAUAUUGUAGAUUUGCUGAAAAAGAGUGCAUUUGGUUUAAGUUGCAAA